GACGAACGCUGGCGGCGUGCCUAAUACAUGCAAGUAGAACGCUGAAGGAGGAGCUUGCUUCUCUGGAUGAGUUGCGAACGGGUGAGUAACGCGUAGGUAACCUGCCUGGUAGUGGGGGAUAACUUUUGGAAACGAUAGCUAAUACCGCAUAAUAGCAGUUGUUGCAUGAUAACUGUUUGAAAGUUGCAAUUGCACCGCUACCAGAUGGACCUGCGUUGUAUUAGCUAGUUGGUGGGGUAACGGCUCACCAAGGCGACGAUACAUAGCCGACCUGAGAGGGUGAGCGGCCACACUGAGACUGAGACACGGCCCAGACUCCUACAGGAGGCAGCAGUAGGGAAUCUUCGGCAAGGGACGGAAGUCUGAGCGAGCAACGCCGCGUGAGUGAAGAAGGUUUUCGGAUCGUAAAGCUCUGUUGUAAGAGAAGAACGAGUGUGAGAGUGGAAAGUUCACACUGUGACGGUAUCUUACCAGAAAGGGACGGCUAACUACGUG
Molecule: ribosomal RNA, 495 nt
Filed under: uncultured bacterium
Lineage: Bacteria
Description: partial 16S ribosomal RNA
Rfam family: Bacterial small subunit ribosomal RNA
Source: RNAcentral